UGCCCCAUGGCUGAGUUGGUUACAGCGUCCGACUGUUAUGUUCUAAUAAUGAUAUCGGAAGGUCGAGAGUUCGAGCCUCUCUGGGGCAG
This is a non-coding RNA of Armillaria novae-zelandiae, 89 nucleotides long. The record is from the annotation of a GenBank genome assembly. Lineage: Eukaryota; Fungi; Basidiomycota; Agaricomycetes; Agaricales; Physalacriaceae.